GAACCUGCGGAGGGAUCAUUACCGAGUUUACAACUCCCAAACCCCUGUGAACAUACCAAUUGUUGCCUCGGCGGAUCAGCCCGCUCCCGGUAAAACGGGACGGCCCGCCAGAGGACCCCUAAACUCUGUUUCUAUAUGUAACUUCUGAGUAAAACCAUAAAUAAAUCAAAACUUUCAACAACGGAUCUCUUGGUUCUGGCAUCGAUGAAGAACGCAGCAAAAUGCGAUAAGUAAUGUGAAUUGCAGAAUUCAGUGAAUCAUCGAAUCUUUGAACGCACAUUGCGCCCGCCAGUAUUCUGGCGGGCAUGCCUGUUCGAGCGUCAUUUCAACCCUCAAGCCCUCGGGUUUGGUGUUGGGGAUCGGCGAGCCCUUGCGGCAAGCCGGCCCCGAAAUCUAGUGGCGGUCUCGCUGCAGCUUCCAUUGCGUAGUAGUAAAACCCUCGCAACUGGUACGCGGCGCGGCCAAGCCGUUAAACCCCCAACUUCUGAAUGUUGACCUCGGAUCAGGUAGGAAUACCCGCUGAACUUAAGCAUAUCAAUAA
This 541-nucleotide ribosomal RNA is filed under the name fungal sp. E14820A. RNAcentral describes it as "eukaryotic LSU rRNA". The stretch from base 170 to 323 matches the Rfam family "5.8S ribosomal RNA". RNAcentral also lists the same sequence under 1 other name. Lineage: Eukaryota; Fungi. The record is from RNAcentral.